Molecule: ribosomal RNA, 549 nt
Filed under: Shigella flexneri
Lineage: Bacteria; Pseudomonadati; Pseudomonadota; Gammaproteobacteria; Enterobacterales; Enterobacteriaceae
Description: bacterial SSU rRNA
Rfam family: Bacterial small subunit ribosomal RNA
Source: RNAcentral
UUGCUUCUUUGCUGACGAGUGGCGGACGGGUGAGUAAUGUCUGGGAAACUGCCUGAUGGAGGGGGAUAACUACUGGAAACGGUAGCUAAUACCGCAUAACGUCCCAAGACCAAAGAGGGGGACCUUCGGCCCUCUUGCCAUCGGAUGUGCCCAGAUGGGAUUAGCUUGUUGGUGGGGUAACGGCUCACCAAGGCGACAAUCCCUAGCUGGUCUGAGAGGAUGACCACCCACACUGGAACUGAAACACGGCCCAAACUCCUACGGGAGGCAGCAGUGGGGAAUAUUGCACAAUGGGCGCAACCCUGAUGCACCCAUGCCGCGUGUAUAAAAAAGGCCUUCGGGUUGUAAAGUACUUUCAGCGGGGAGGAAGGGAGUAAAGUUAAUACCUUUGCUCAUUGACGUUCCCCGCAAAAAAAGCACCGGCUAACUCCGUGCCAGCAGCCGCGGUAAUACGGAGGGUGCAAGCGUUAAUCGGAAUUACUGGGCGUAAAGCGCACGCAGGCGGUUUGUUAAGUCAAAUGUGAAAUCCCCGGGCUCAACCUGGGAACU